UACAGAGGUCUCAAGCGUUGUUCGGAUUCAUUGGGCGUAAAGGGUGCGUAGGUGGCGCUGUAAGUCGGGUGUGAAAUUUCGGAGCUUAACUCCGAAACUGCAUUCGAUACUGCGGUGCUUGAGGACUGGAGAGGAGACUGGAAUUCAUGGUGUAGCAGUGAAAUGCGUAGAGAUCAUGAGGAAGACCAGUGGCGAAGGCGGGUCUCUGGAACGGUACUGACGCUGAGGCGCGAAAGCGUGGGGAGCGAACAGG
Molecule: ribosomal RNA, 253 nt
Filed under: uncultured bacterium
Lineage: Bacteria
Description: partial 16S ribosomal RNA
Rfam family: Bacterial small subunit ribosomal RNA
Source: RNAcentral